CCUACGGGUGGCAGCAGUGGGGAAUAUUGCACAAUGGGGGAAACCCUGAUGCAGCGACGCCGCGUGAGUGAAGAAGUAAUUCGUUAUGUAAAGCUCUAUCUGCAGGGAAGAAAAUGACGGUACCUGUGUAAGAAGCCCCGGCUAACUACGUGCCAGCAGCCGCGGUAAUACGUAGGGGGCAAGCGUUAUCCGGAUUUACUGGGUGUAAAGGGAGCGUAGACGGCAGUGCAAGUCUGGAGUGAAAGGCGGGGGCUCAACCCCCGGACUGCUCUGGAAACUGUACGGCUAGAGUGCAGGAGAGGUAAGUGGAAUUCCUGGUGUAGCGGUGAAAUGCGUAGAUAUUAGGAAGAACACCAGUGGCGAAGGCGGCUUACUGGACUGGAACUGACGUUGAGGCUCGAAAGCGUGGGGAGCAAACAGGAUUAGAUACCCCAGUAGUC
Molecule: ribosomal RNA, 440 nt
Filed under: uncultured bacterium
Lineage: Bacteria
Description: partial 16S ribosomal RNA
Rfam family: Bacterial small subunit ribosomal RNA
Source: RNAcentral